UACGAAGGGGGCUAGCGUUGCUCGGAAUUACUGGGCGUAAAGCGCACGUAGGCGGCUUUCUAAGUCGGGGGUGAAAUCCUGGAGCUCAACUCCAGAACUGCCUUCGAUACUGGAGAGCUUGAGUCCGGGAGAGGUAAGUGGAACUGCGAGUGUAGAGGUGAAAUUCGUAGAUAUUCGCAAGAACACCAGUGGCGAAGGCGGCUCACUGGCCCGGUACUGACGCUGAGGUGCGAAAGCGUGGGGAGCAAACAGG
RNAcentral lists this ribosomal RNA (253 nucleotides) under uncultured bacterium. Its description in RNAcentral is "partial 16S ribosomal RNA". It matches the Rfam family "Bacterial small subunit ribosomal RNA", at positions 524 to 776 of the family's 1533-position model. The record is from RNAcentral.